GAUGAACGCUGGCGGCGUGCCUAAUACAUGCAAGUCGAGCGAACGGACGAGAAGCUUGCCUCUCUGAUGUUAGCGGCGGACGGGUGAGUAACACGUGGAUAACCUACCUAUAAGACUGGGAUAACUUCGGGAAACCGGAGCUAAUACCGGAUAAUAUUUUGAACCGCAUGGUUCAAAAGUGAAAGACGGUCUUGCUGUCACUUAUAGAUGGAUCCGCGCUGCAUUAGCUAGUUGGUAAGGUAACGGCUUACCAAGGCAACGAUGCAUAGCCGACCUGAGAGGGUGAUCGGCCACACUGGAACUGAGACACGGUCCAGACUCCGACGGGAGGCAGCAGUAGGGAAUCUUCCGCAAUGGGCGAAAGCCUGACGGAGCAACGCCGCGUGAGUGAUGAAGGUCUUCGGAUCGUAAAACUCUGUUAUUAGGGAAGAACAUAUGUGUAAGUAACUGUGCACAUCUUGACGGUACCUAAUCAGAAAGCCACGGCUAACUACGUG
Molecule: ribosomal RNA, 497 nt
Filed under: uncultured bacterium
Lineage: Bacteria
Description: partial 16S ribosomal RNA
Rfam family: Bacterial small subunit ribosomal RNA
Source: RNAcentral